GACGAACGCUGGCGGCGUGCUUAACACAUGCAAGUCGAGCGGUAAGGCCUUUCGGGGUACACGAGCGGCGAACGGGUGAGUAACACGUGGGUGACCUGCCUUUAGCUUCGGGAUAAGCCUGGGAAACCGGGUCUAAUACCGGAUAUGACUCCAUGACGCAUGUCGUGGGGUGGAAAGCCUUGUGCGGCUGGGGAUGGGCCCGCGGCCUAUCAGCUUGUUGGUGGGGUGAUGGCCUACCAAGGCGACGACGGGUAGCCGGCCUGAGAGGGCGACCGGCCACACUGGGACUGAGACACGGCCCAGACUCCUACGGGAGGCAGCAGUGGGGAAUCUUGCGCAAUGGGCGAAAGCCUGACGCAGCGACGCCGCGUGA
This 373-nucleotide ribosomal RNA is filed under the name uncultured bacterium. Its description in RNAcentral is "bacterial SSU rRNA". It matches the Rfam family "Bacterial small subunit ribosomal RNA", at positions 28 to 404 of the family's 1533-position model. The record is from RNAcentral.